GGCUAAGCAUGGUAUAGUGGUUGGAAUGCUGAACUAGGGCUCUGGAAGACCAGGGUUCAAAUCCCUGCUCAGCCA
Molecule: non-coding RNA, 75 nt
Organism: Phrynosoma platyrhinos (Desert horned lizard)
Lineage: Eukaryota; Metazoa; Chordata; Lepidosauria; Squamata; Phrynosomatidae
Source: the annotation of a GenBank genome assembly